UAAUAUGCAGCAAAGGUUUCUUCUUCCGUCUGGAGUAUUUGAAAAUCGUUACAGGCUCUCCCCGAGAGGAACAAAAUGCGAAAUGUUUCGUCAAACAGAUGGCGCAUGACUCGCAGUCAGUUUCACUUUGAGUACCGCAGCGUCAGGACGAAGAAUCGAUUUCUGUGCAAAUUGUCAUUAGCAUUUAAAGGCACCAGAAAAGCAGGGUCGAAAAUCGGGCAAAAGCCUUGUCGAAUCCAUCUACCCGAUUCAAAGGGAAGGGCUCGUGAUAUCGAAAUUCAAGUAGAUGCAUUUCGACUGUUGUUCACAAGGAAAUAAUAAAGCGUUUGACUGCAGAAAUCGAAGGCCCACAGACUUGUCACCAUUUCACAGAUGCAGAUGAAAUUAAUCCGUGAAUAAAUUUUCUCAUUUUUUCUGGCGUAUUGAAGUUUGGCUUUGGCUUCUUAUAUGCCUAAAGGAAGUGAACUUAUUGUUUUGUUCUAUCUACGCGCUACUAUUCCAAAGUAAUAAAUCCGCCAACUAAUAAAACCGAAAUCGUCGUGAAGUACAAAAAAAUGGUAUGGACAGUUUUGACCAAUUGUGCCACAAUUAAUAAGUUGCGCGAGCAAUUUUGUAACUUUUCAUUUCCCAAUGAAAAGUAUUCAAAAAAUA
Long non-coding RNA from Neodiprion fabricii, 651 nucleotides. RefSeq lists it as uncharacterized. The transcript is spliced from 2 exons. The record is from RefSeq and is a predicted model, not a curated record. Lineage: Eukaryota; Metazoa; Arthropoda; Insecta; Hymenoptera; Diprionidae.